UUGGGGUUGAGGACAUACCACAUAUAAGAGGUCAUUAUAGACGAAGAAGUUUGGAAAAACUCAUCAUAGAAGGUAAUAAUCCUGUAGUCAAAAUAAUAAUUCUUUAGGUAUGAUCCAGAGUACUACGGGACACGUGAAACCCUGUGGGAAGCAGGAGGGACCACCCUCCAAGGCUAAAUACUACCUAGUGACCGAUAGCGUAUAGUACCGUGAGGGAAAGGUGAAAAG
RNAcentral lists this ribosomal RNA (228 nucleotides) under Clostridioides difficile. RNAcentral describes it as "partial 23S ribosomal RNA". It matches the Rfam family "Bacterial large subunit ribosomal RNA", at positions 292 to 521 of the family's 2925-position model. Lineage: Bacteria; Bacillati; Bacillota; Clostridia; Peptostreptococcales; Peptostreptococcaceae. The record is from RNAcentral.